GUGCCAGCCGCCGCGGUAAUACGUAGGUGGCAAGCGUUGUCCGGAUUUAUUGGGCGUAAAGCGAGCGCAGGCGGUUUCUUAAGUCUGAUGUGAACGCCUUCGUCUCAACCGAAGAAGUGCAUCGGAAACUGGGAAACUUGAGUGCAGAAGAGGACAGUGGAACUCCAUGUGUAGCGGUGAAAUGCGUAGAUAUAUGGAAGAACACCAGUGGCGAAGGCGGCUGUCUGGUCUGUAACUGACGCUGAGGCUCGAAAGCAUGGGUAGCAAACAGGAUUAGAUACCCUGGUAGUCCAUGCCGUAAACGAUGAGUGCUAGGUGUUGGAGGGUUUCCGCCCUUCAGUGCCGCAGCUAACGCAUUAAGCACUCCGCCUGGGGAGUACGACCGCAAGGUUGAAACUCAAAGGAAUUGACGGGGGCCCGCACAAGCGGUGGAGCAUGUGGUUUAAUUCGAAGCAACGCGAAGAACCUUACCAGGUCUUGACAUCCUUUGACCACUCUAGAGAUAGAGCUUUCCCUUCGGGGACAAAGUGACAAGUGGUGCAUGGUUGUCGUCAGCUCGUGUCGUGAGAUGUUGGGUUAAGUCCCGCAACGAGCGCAACCCUUAUUACUAGUUGCCAGCAUUAAGUUGGGCACUCUAGUGAGACUGCCGGUGACAAACCGGAGGAAGGUGGGGACGACGUCAAAUCAUCAUGCCCCUUAUGACCUGGGCUACACACGUGCUACAAUGGAUGGUACAACGAGUUGCGAGACCGCGAGGUUUAGCUAAUCUCUUAAAACCAUUCUCAGUUCGGAUUGUAGGCUGCAACUCGCCUACAUGAAGCCGGAAUCGCUAGUAAUCGCGGAUCAGCAUGCCGCGGUGAAUACGUUCCCGGGCCUUGUACACACCGCCCGU
Molecule: ribosomal RNA, 892 nt
Filed under: uncultured bacterium
Lineage: Bacteria
Description: bacterial SSU rRNA
Rfam family: Bacterial small subunit ribosomal RNA
Source: RNAcentral